This 229-nucleotide unclassified non-coding RNA is filed under the name plant metagenome. RNAcentral describes it as "partial contains small subunit ribosomal RNA, internal transcribed spacer 1, and 5.8S ribosomal RNA". The record is from RNAcentral.
GCUCCGUAGGUGAACCUGCGGAGGGAUCAUUACAGAGUUCAUGCCCUACCGGGUAGAUCUCCCACCCUAUGUUAUUAUUACUUUGUUGCUUUGGCGGACCGUUAGGCUCCGGCCCGACUACCGGCCCCGGCUGGUAAGCGCCCGCCAGAGGACCCAAAACCCUGAAUAUUAGUGUCGUCUGAGUACUAUAUAAUAGUUAAAACUUUCAACAACGGAUCUCUUGGUUCUG